Molecule: ribosomal RNA, 450 nt
Filed under: uncultured bacterium
Lineage: Bacteria
Description: bacterial SSU rRNA
Rfam family: Bacterial small subunit ribosomal RNA
Source: RNAcentral
GUGGGGAAUAUUGGACAAUGGGCGAAAGCCUGAUCCAGCCAUGCCGCGUGUGUGAAGAAGGUCUUCGGAUUGUAAAGCACUUUAAGUUGGGAGGAAGGGCAGUAAGUUAAUACCUUGCUGUUUUGACGUUACCGACAGAAUAAGCACCGGCUAACUUCGUGCCAGCAGCCGCGGUAAUACGAAGGGUGCAAGCGUUAAUCGGAAUUACUGGGCGUAAAGCGUGCGCAGGCGGUUUUGUAAGACAGGCGUGAAAUCCCCGGGCUCAACCUGGGAACUGCCUCCAAAACUGCAUGACUAGAGUACGGUAGAGGGUAGUGGAAUUUCCUGUGUAGCGGUGAAAUGCGUAGAUAUAGGAAGGAACACCAGUGGCGAAGGCGACUACCUGGACUGAUACUGACACUGAGGUGCGAAAGCGUGGGGAGCAAACAGGAUUAGAAACCCUUGUAGUCC